UCAGACACUCAACCUACUGAGCCACCCAGGUUCCCUGAGGAUAAUCUUCUGAUUGUUGUUUGACUUCUUUGUUUUCUUAGUACCAGGAUGGUGGCAGUGUAUCAGGGGAAAGGUCUGAUAUGUGGCCUCUGGAUUCCUGAUCAUGAACAAAUAUUCACACACGCUGUUCACUACUGGCAAAAUAGCCCAGUGAAACUGGACAUCCAAGGUAUGAAGCAUCUGUGUUUGAACACACUGCACAGGACAUGAAACUGUCACACAGGGAAUGAGUUCUUUGAUAAAAUACAAUGUUUCAUACCUA
Molecule: long non-coding RNA, 301 nt
Organism: Hyaena hyaena (striped hyena)
Lineage: Eukaryota; Metazoa; Chordata; Mammalia; Carnivora; Hyaenidae
Exons: 2
Source: RefSeq, a predicted model, not a curated record